Canis lupus familiaris (dog) is the source of this 94-nucleotide non-coding RNA. NCBI's taxonomy places the organism in Eukaryota, Metazoa, Chordata, Mammalia, Carnivora, Canidae. The record is from Rfam.
AGGAGGAACAGCCCCAGUGGCGGGCCAGGUCUGGAAACCUGGGUUCAGCUCCGGCAGGAACUCCGUCUGCAGGGCCUGGAGGCUCCGGGGCGGG